CAGGUACAUUAGAAAGAAUUCACAGUUAAACAAGGAAGGAGGAAGGGGAAGCAUCUAGACCCCGAUGAUUUUCCAUUAUGGUUUUAUUCCUCUGAGGUGCACAGCACGUGUCUCAGAAGUGUGAAGUUGUGCGGCAUGGGCAUUUCGAUUCCAGAAUAAGUCUAGUAGAUGAAGAAAAAGUAUUUUGAGUUACUUCCAUCACAGAACAGCAGAAUGACAAGGGAAGAAGAAUAAGUUCCUUGCCGUACUCACUUGAAUG
Long non-coding RNA from Talpa occidentalis (Iberian mole), 259 nucleotides. RefSeq lists it as uncharacterized. NCBI's taxonomy places the organism in Eukaryota, Metazoa, Chordata, Mammalia, Eulipotyphla, Talpidae. The record is from RefSeq and is a predicted model, not a curated record. The transcript has 5 exons.